RNAcentral lists this ribosomal RNA (249 nucleotides) under Stenotrophomonas maltophilia. RNAcentral describes it as "partial 16S ribosomal RNA". It matches the Rfam family "Bacterial small subunit ribosomal RNA", at positions 168 to 419 of the family's 1533-position model. Lineage: Bacteria; Pseudomonadati; Pseudomonadota; Gammaproteobacteria; Lysobacterales; Lysobacteraceae. The record is from RNAcentral.
ACCGCAUACGACCUACGGGUGAAAGCAGGGGAUCUUCGGACCUUGCGCGAUUGAAUGAGCCGAUGUCGGAUUAGCUAGUUGGCGGGGUAAAGGCCCACCAAGGCGACGAUCCGUAGCUGGUCUGAGAGGAUGAUCAGCCACACUGGAACUGAGACACGGUCCAGACUCCUACGGGAGGCAGCAGUGGGGAAUAUUGGACAAUGGGCGCAAGCCUGAUCCAGCCAUACCGCGUGGGUGAAGAAGGCCUUC